CAUGUAUGCUAUCUAUGUCUUGUCUCGAGAGCUAGUCAGGGCUCGAUGAUAAACCUAUUUUUGGAACAUUUAUGCUAGACUGCUUUAUUUUCUGUUGUUUCAUGAGAUUAAAAACUCAUCAUACCUGCUCUCCGCUCUCCUGGUUCUUGCAUUCUGCUGUCACACAACGGCAGCCAUGCGAGUUCCCAACAGAAUUAUUAUUAUUAUAAGUGUUUCCCCCACACUCUUUGGACCCCUGUGCUGCAGGAGGAAACAACAGAACUGCAUCAAGACCCCCUGCGGCGCCCGGCUUAGUCAGUGUAACAAGAAGUUAACAAUGGAAAAUGUAAAGAACAACCAAACACUCCGUCUUGGUUAGCAGGAAAGUGAUGCUGGAGUCAUACUGCUUUGGGUCCUCUUAAUUCAGGGUCGAGGACCAUCGAGAAAACUGCGGCCCGCAGGAGAAAGGACCCAUUGAUUCCCCAAAGGAAUCAUUUUAGUGGAGAGCUGGGGAGAGCUAUUAGCUGCUUCUCUAACCCUGUGAUCCAUGACUGUCAUCCCAUCCACCCUCAAAAACAUCUUAAUCUAAUGAUAUUGCCUCUAUAGGCCAACUAUAAGUUGAUUAAAACAACAUUGUCUUGCAGGAAACAGCCGUACUUUCCUGUCAGGUCUGAAUUCCUGUCCUCUCAGGAGAAAG
Molecule: long non-coding RNA, 676 nt
Organism: Nerophis ophidion (straightnose pipefish)
Lineage: Eukaryota; Metazoa; Chordata; Actinopteri; Syngnathiformes; Syngnathidae
Exons: 4
Source: RefSeq, a predicted model, not a curated record